Molecule: ribosomal RNA, 498 nt
Filed under: uncultured bacterium
Lineage: Bacteria
Description: partial 16S ribosomal RNA
Rfam family: Bacterial small subunit ribosomal RNA
Source: RNAcentral
GACGAACGCCGGCGGCGUGCCUAAUACAUGCAAGUCGAGCGGACGAAUCGAAAGCUUGCUUUUGAUUCGUUAGCGGCGGACGGGUGAGUAACACGUGGGCAACCUGCCCUGUAGACGGGGAUAACACCGAGAAAUCGGUGCUAAUACCGGAUAACACGAAAUGUCGCAUGACGUUUCGUUGAAAGACGGCGCAAGCUGCCGCUACAGGAUGGGCCCGCGGCGCAUUAGCUAGUUGGUGAGGUAACGGCUCACCAAGGCGACGAUACGUAGCCGACCUGAGAGGGUGAUCGGCCACACUGGGACUUAGACACGGCCCAGACUCCUACGGGAGGCAGCAGUAGGGAAUCUUCCGCAAUGGACGAAAGUCUGGCGGAGCCACGCCGCGUGAGCGAAGAAGGCCUUCGGGUCGUAAAGCCCUGUUGUUAGGGAAGAACAAGUAACGCAGUAACUGGCGUUACCGUGACGGUACCUAACGAGAAAGCCACGGCUAACUACGUG